Colletotrichum navitas is the source of this 111-nucleotide non-coding RNA. The record is from the annotation of a RefSeq genome assembly. Lineage: Eukaryota; Fungi; Ascomycota; Sordariomycetes; Glomerellales; Glomerellaceae.
GCUCGAAUGGCUCGUGGUAAAGCGUCUCACUAGUACUGGCUGCCCCAGUUCGAGGACCGGGAGAGUGAACAUGACAUGAGAAGAUCGCCAGUUCGAUUCUGGCUUUGGGCA